AAACUGCGAUAAGUAGUGUGAAUUGCAUUUGGUGAAUCAUCGAAUCUUUGAACGCACCCUGCACUCACUGGUAUUCCGGUGAGUACGCCUGUUUCAGUAUCAUUGAAAACACACAAUCAAAACAUUUUCUUUGGUUUGAUUGGCUUUGGGUCUAUCAAAAAGUUUGGCUUGUUUCUUACAAGCCAAGCGGCCUGAAAUAUAUUGUCUGGCUAAUUGCAUCGUUGAUGAUCGCUAUUAGACUUUGGCUUUUUUAAAUGAACUGGAGGUUGAUUAACCAGUUUUAGCUUUAGUCAAAUGGUCAUUGUAAAAAAAAUCUCGAUCUUGGCUAGGUGUUUAUAGCCGAAAAUUUUUUUUUGGCUAUAACCGAAACCAAUAUAAUCACAUUUAGUUAUCGAUCUGAAAUCAGGUGGGACUACCCGCUGAACUUAAGC
RNAcentral lists this unclassified non-coding RNA (431 nucleotides) under plant metagenome. Its description in RNAcentral is "partial contains 5.8S ribosomal RNA, internal transcribed spacer 2, and large subunit ribosomal RNA". The stretch from base 1 to 102 matches the Rfam family "5.8S ribosomal RNA", at positions 50 to 154 of the family's 154-position model. The record is from RNAcentral.